GAGGGUAGAGCUCAGUGGUGGAGCGCGUGCUUAGCAUGCAUGAGGUCCUGGGUUCCAUCCCCAGUACCUCCA
RNAcentral lists this transfer RNA (72 nucleotides) under Camelus bactrianus (Bactrian camel). It matches the Rfam family "tRNA". Rfam says of the family: Transfer RNA (tRNA) molecules are approximately 80 nucleotides in length. Their secondary structure includes four short double-helical elements and three loops (D, anti-codon, and T loops). Further hydrogen bonds mediate the characteristic L-shaped molecular structure. tRNAs have two regions of fundamental functional importance: the anti-codon, which is responsible for specific mRNA codon recognition, and the 3' end, to which the tRNAs corresponding amino acid is attached (by aminoacyl-tRNA synthetases). tRNAs cope with the degeneracy of the genetic code in two manners: having more than one tRNA (with a specific anti-codon) for a particular amino acid; and 'wobble' base-pairing, i.e. permitting non-standard base-pairing at the 3rd anti-codon position. Lineage: Eukaryota; Metazoa; Chordata; Mammalia; Artiodactyla; Camelidae. The record is from Rfam by way of RNAcentral. RNAcentral also lists the same sequence under 1 other name.